AUGGGUGUGAUGAAAUUUUGGUAAACAUGGUAACCUUAGGAGUUAUUGGUGAAAACCUUGUGAGUUCGAGUCUCGCCACCCGUA
This is a non-coding RNA of Dactylellina haptotyla CBS 200.50, 84 nucleotides long. NCBI's taxonomy places the organism in Eukaryota, Fungi, Ascomycota, Orbiliomycetes, Orbiliales, Orbiliaceae. The record is from Rfam.